AUGACUAUUUUGCAAAUUAUGAA
This 23-nucleotide small nuclear RNA is filed under the name Arabidopsis thaliana (thale cress). RNAcentral's name for it is "snRNA_06855". The record is from RNAcentral. Lineage: Eukaryota; Viridiplantae; Streptophyta; Magnoliopsida; Brassicales; Brassicaceae.